GAAAUCCUGAGGGUGAAAAUACGUCAAGUCAUCGUGGAUUGUCUUCCUUAUUUUGUAGCACAGGAAGAAUAAAUCCUGAGGGUCAAUAUACGUCAAGUCAUUGUGGAUUGUCUUCCUUAUUCUGUAGCACAGGAAUUUCAAGGCAUAAAACCCCUCCAGGAGAACCACAUCUACAGGAAAGUGAAAAGUGGUGGGUCUACGAGGGGGAGAUCCCGUGUGGCUUCUUCGGGCUGGCCGGGUGAAGGCCCGACCACCAGGUCCCUCCCCCGGGCCUGGCUCCAGGGUGAGGCCCCGGUAUCCCACAUCCCGGGCGAGGUACGGUUCCUCCUCUUGUUUUUAUUUAUAUGGGUCUUCUGAAUUGAGUUGAGGUGGCUCGGGCAUCUAGUCCGGACGCCUCCCUGGUGAGGUGUUCCGGGCAUGCCCAGCCGGGAAAAGGUCCCAGGCAGACCUAGGACACGCUGGAGGGCUCACAGCUGGCCUGGGAACGCCUUGGUGUCCUCCCGGUGGAGCUGGAGAAGGUGGCCGGGAACCGGGAAGUCUGGGCUUCCCUACUGAGACUGCUGCCCCCGUGACCUGGACCCGGAUAAGUGGAGGAAAAUGGAUGGAUGGAUAGUAACGUCACACGGGAGGCACUUGCAGUAGCGCUGGAAGGUGCUUGUCACUGCCGUCCUUCCACAGAGGAAAAGCCAGCAAACCAUGGAGGAAUUAAUUUGACUGCCAAAAUGGAGGAUGAGAUACCCAAAUCCCCCCCACCACCACCAAUGAUUACAGACUGGUGUCGGCUGUCUUCAUUGUCGGCGCGCUGACAACGGCGGGGGGCGCCGUGCUACCCGGGGGGGCAUCCCUGCAGAAAAAGACGGCAGGGUUUUUGCAGGCCCACAUUGUAACCUCCGCCCCCGCUCCUUUGCCCGGACUUGAACUGGACAGUCUGCUGUUAUGACUCAUUCCCACUCGACUCAAGUAGCGACCCCUGAUCUUCUCCACCUGAGUAAGACAAAUGUCCCGGUUCUGGGCGCGGCUGGACAAGUACGGUGCGAUAUUUCUGGUGCGGUAGCCCCCCUCUCUCCUGCGCCCCAGCAGCAUGGAUAUGUUGGGGUUCCUCAGGGCGUAGAUGAGGGGGUUGAUGGCUCCAUUGGCCCAAGCCAGCCAAAUGGCAGCUGUGUCCAUCACAGGGGUGAAAGUGUAGUCUCCAAAUGCGCUGAUCAGCCCCAUUAAACAAUACGGCCCCCAGCAAAAAAUGAUGAAAACAAUCAUAAUGAGGACGGUGGUGGCCGUGCGCAUCUCGCUGUAGAACCUCAGCAAGUACGCGUACGUAGUCACAGGUCUGACUCGUAUUUCCGAGAGGCGGACUGUCUUACAGAUGUUGUAAUGACAGAAACACAUCAGCGAAAAGGGCAGUAAAAAACACACAAUGAUAAGACAGAUGCUAUAAGCUCCACCCGUGUGGGAGCUCCCGGAGUGGAAAACGUACAUGCAGUGGUAGAAACCCUGCUUGUGGAUUUCUUUCGGCCUUUGUGUGACCAGAUACCACGGAAGGGAGAAGACAACUGCAGCUAACCAAACGGCGACUAACAACUUAGUGGCUUUGGGUCGCCCGAUUUUAGCCUGUGGCUGCCUGACGAUGGCGUAGUACCUGUCCAACGAGAUCAAAGUCAUAGUCAAGGUAGACACGAUGCCAAAGCAGGUGUUGAAAAACCCGUUGGCCACACAGAAACCAUCCCCAAACAUCCAGACCCCGUCCCUACUGAAGAGCAUGACAAAGGAGAAGGGCAGGCAUAGGACGGCUGUGAGGAAGUCGGACAUGGACAGAGACAUAAUGAAAGCGUUGGUCACCGUCUGGAGCUGCCGGUGUUUGAUGAUGACAAUCAAGACGGCAAAAUUACCCAGGCUGGAGAGAAGGAAAAUGGAGAGGAGUACCAGUGCCUGAGCUGCCACCAUAAAGCCCUUCAGGACAGUGUUAGUCUCGGCGGCGCUCAGCACCGAAGGUGUCGGUGCCCCAUGACCCCCCGGGGCUUUGAACGAAGUUACAUUCCCGCCGCUCGAUACCAUGGCCUCUGGGGUGGUCGUCACCAGGCCACUGACCGAGGAGACGACCCUGAAAUGGAGAAAUCUUAUCAAUUCAGAGGAAGUGACAGCGAUCCAAGACUUUGAUGGGAUCGUAGACCCUGGUUGAUUGCCCAGACCAGACGCUGAUUUGAGGACUUUGUCUAAAUAUGGUAAUGGUUUUAUUUCAUUUGAACAUGCAUCAGAUUCCAAUUGAGUGCAUCCCAUAAUCAGUUCCCAGUUCCACAUGUCCAAAAGGAGUAGGAAGAAGCAAAGCUUAUUAAAUCCUACCCCUCCAUCUGGUACUUUUACAAUCACUAACUGUUACAUUUGUUCACUUCCUGCUUUCCUAAUGUAGUUUAAGUUUUUCUUUGAAAUUUUUUUGAAAUUUUUUUGAAAUUUUUUUGAAAUUUUUUUGAAAUUUUUUUGAAAUUUUUUUGAAAUUUUUUUAAAAAUUCUUUUAUUUUUUUUUAAUUUUUUAUUUUUUUAUUUAUUACAUCAACUGCUUGUAUUGUUUCUUGAAUUGGCUCAUCGUUGUGCAUUGUUUGAUUUCCUUACUCAAUCCAUUCCAUAGUUUGAUUCCACAUAAUGAAAUGCUAUGGCUAGCAUAACGUAGUCCUAGCAUAGAAGUGUUUCAAAUGUACUUCUUCCUGAGAUCAUAUUUCUCCUCUCUUGUAGAGAAGUAUUGGAUGACAAUUUUAGCUAAUUGCUUAUUUUUAGCCUUAUGCAUUAUUUUAGCUGUUUGAAGAUGAACUAUAUCAGCAAGUUGAAGUAUUUGUGAUUUUAGAAAUAAGGAGUUAGUAUGUUCUCUGUAGGCGGCAUUAUGAAUUAUCCUUACUGACCUUUUUUGCAGUACAUUUAGCCAGUGAAUAUUGCUUUUAUAGUUAUUAGCCCAUAUUUCCACACAAUAAGUAAGAUAUGGUAGAACCAGAGAGCAAUAAAGAGUGUGGAGUGAUUUCUGAUUGAGAACUAAUUUUGCUUUGUUCAAUACUGAAAUAUUUCUGGCCACCUUAUGUUGUAUAUUUGUAACAUGAGGUUUCCAGCUCAUAUUUUCAUCUAUUGUGAUCGCCAGAAAUGUAUUUUCCUUCACCCUUUCAAUGUCCACACCGUCUAUUUGUAUUUGCUGCUGCGUGUCCUUUCUGCUGUUAGCAAAAAGCAUUAUUUUAGUUUUAUUUAGGUUCAAUGACAAUCUAUUAUCAUCAAAAGUAUGGUUAAGUAUGGUUCCUUAUUUGUCAAUGGAAUAUUGUCGUCAUACAAAACCUGUUUAUGAGCUUCUGAAUAUGUUUUCCAACAUUAUCAGGGGCUUUUAGUGACACGACACCCCCGCAAAGUACUUGGUUUUUCCGUCCGUGUACUACCUGUAACGUCGGCACCGGUGCCGGUAUGGAGAGCAUCUUCUGCACCAUUCUUAGCCCAGGGUGUAGCCCGAGGUUGCCAUGCGACGCAUCAGCAGAGUGACAGCAAAGCACCAAAUGUGCCAAAAGUGCAAGCAUGCAAAGAAUGAGGUCAGCGUGUUUUUAUUGUUGUAUUUCCUGUUUCCACCCGCCUUUCCUGUUUGUGCUUUUGCAGGCAUUUUUAUCUAGUGACUAGGGGCGGAGCCAAUCGGUAAUUAGUCUGAUUCAUAAAUCAGAAUGAUGCAGGGUCUUCAACAAACUCCGAGCCUCACCCCAAACUCUUCUUUGUCUCGGCUGAUGUCAAAUAGGCUGAUCAAAAGUUGAAGGCCACAACUUUGAACAUCUAAAAUCUUUCCAAAAAUCAGAUUCAAUGUCAUUUUCUGUCAGGUAUUCAAACCGCCAUGAUCUCUUGGUUGGAUGUCGAGCUGCACCAGCAUGGUUAGGGCAAGGGGGGCAUGCAGCUGCUGAGGUUGGACGCGGCAAGGUUUGAAACUUCUUCAACACGCCGAGGCUUAUGAAACAGAAAUGUCAACGUUGUCUUUGCAAUUGUUGUUGCUGCUGUUGUUUUUGUCUCUCUUUGUAUUGACUCCUCUUGUUAUUUCUUCUUUUCUAUCCCCUCCUGCUCUGGUCCGGCCGCGCCAAAUUAGCAUGAAAAAACAUCAAAUAAAGCCAAAUAAUAC
Molecule: non-coding RNA, 4117 nt
Organism: Doryrhamphus excisus (bluestripe pipefish)
Lineage: Eukaryota; Metazoa; Chordata; Actinopteri; Syngnathiformes; Syngnathidae
Source: RefSeq, a predicted model, not a curated record